Dreissena polymorpha is the source of this 3913-nucleotide long non-coding RNA. RefSeq lists it as uncharacterized. The record is from RefSeq and is a predicted model, not a curated record. Lineage: Eukaryota; Metazoa; Mollusca; Bivalvia; Myida; Dreissenidae. The transcript has 4 exons.
ACCCUUGCAUAAAAAUCUGCUUUAAUAGAAUUGUUAAAUUAUAUUUAAUUUUAGUAAAAUAAUUAUGUAAAAGCCUUCAGCUCAUUUUAAAAGUCUUUUCGUCAUUUAUUUUCAACGUUUAUUUAAAUUCUUGGAUUUUGUUUUAAGAGCCUGUUCCUACAGGAACCUAUGCAAUCAUAGAUCGGUACCUAGCUGAACAACAGGCUGUAUGGUCAGCUGGUCCCAGACGCCCAGUGACACUUCCUGGCCCAGGACCUUGGGGCAAAUGCUCAACUAUACCUACCCGCAGGGUGGAGCCACUCUGAACCUGGGGCUCCAUACUUUCUUGGCCAGGGGCCAAGUUUACCUUGUCAAUAAGGUACAUGUAGGGACACAUUCCUUGGAUGCCCUAAGGUUUCUCUAUCUGUUCACAAAGGCUUUAUACUCACAAGUUCAAGCCCAGUGAGCGAUGUUCACAUUAUCAAACUCUGCAUAUCAAUAGAACCCCGGAUAUCAAAGCGUUGAGCUUUUUUUGAAGCAUUUGCACCAGCAACAGUCAUCAUCUCGAGUUACUGGCAUCUCUAUGGUGUGGAACCCUCCGUCUUUGAACAUCUUAACAGCACAUGAACCAGUGGCUCUCAUCAUCUCAAGAUUCUGGUAUAUCCAUGGUGCAGGACCCUCGGUCUGCAAAGAUCAUGCAGAGCGAACCUCAGAUGCCAUUUGAUGAAAUCAAACCAUUCAAUCAGAAACACAGCCUGUUGCAGCAGUUGUUACCAUAUUGACCCCAGUCAAACCUAAGAAGUCCAUAGAUAAAUACUUUUUUAGAUGUGCUAGUCUUUACGUACCUCCUGGUUUGUUCAGCACUUACUCUGACUCUUUUAAUUUAAUGACGGGUGAAAAUGAAUGACCUUGUUCAGUUCGAAAUGACACAUCACAACAAUUCAAGUGGAAAGCCAGAAAGUCAUGUCAACAGCCACAUUUUGUAUGUGUAACAGCCAAGUUGUUUUCAAAGAAAAACAAUAUUUUACAUUUUAUUUUUUAUUUGACCAAUGUUUCAUGGGAAUUAUGAUGCUGUCAGUCUCUUUAUGUUGAAAGUUUUGGUUAAAAAUAGCAUGUUAAUUUUUUUUUAAAGCACACAUAUUGCAUUUAUAUCCAAUGUCUUUGUCUGUAUAAUGAAUUUUUCACUACAUAUUUUGAUCCUUAUAAUGGUAAAUGUAUGGGAAAAACAAUUUUAUCAAAGAUAUUCUAAGAUUGUCAAGUCUGUUUAAAUGAUGCUGGUAACUUUGACAAAAUUGAAAAAAAAGGAGUAUUUUCAUAUUAUAAGAUAUGUUUCAGUUGUCUGUUUUUACCCGUAAUAUAGAUAAGCUAAUUUAAUGAAUUGUUCACGAAGGUUUAUAACUUUUACACUUCAGCUUUUUCUGUCUUUUAAUCCUUCCGAAAACAAUACUAGUCAAUUUGCUGAUUUGGGUCGGUAUUCGAUCAUGAAUCUUGUUUAGUAGCAUACUAUUUCAUUGGAAUAAUAAUACAUUCUGGGAAAAAUUAUUUAAUCUAACUAAAAUUAUUGAUUCUGUAAAUACCACUUUGUUGAUUUCAAUGGAUAUUGUUUGUAAAAUUAAUAUAGUAUGACUAUUGCGUGUUUGGGAAAGCUUUUAAUGAAACUGAGUAUUAUAAAAAACAAAAAAACAAAUAAAGAGUUUUAUGAAAAUUGUCAAAACUUAUUAUUGUUAAUUUGUGUUGUUAGAUCAUAGAUGUGUAUGCUCACAAUUGUUAAACUUUGUUUUUGGACACAAUAGUUUAUUAUGCGUAUCCUCUUUAAUAAGUGAGUAACUUAAUCAAGAUUUAUUGAUCACUGUAUAUAUUCUGUAGGUAUAUUUUGCCAUUUAUACAUAAAGCAACUGUAGAACAAUUGUAUUUUAAAUGUAAAUUAUUCUUGUAUUGUUGCCAUUUGUAUAAUAUAAACUAACUGUUUACCUUAGUUUGUAAAAACCUUUGUAAAAAAACAUUUCCUGUUUGAAUGCUCAUAUAUAUAUUAAACUGUUAAAAUAAUGCACAGUACCAGAAAAAAAUAGUCAAUUACACAGUAAGGGAAAGUGUUGUCAUAUGCUAACAAUUGUAUAAAAUUGCAAUUGUCUCUAUUUGUAAUAAUAGAGAGCAAUAUUAUUUGCUUAAAAAAUAAAGAUGUCUGCUUUGUAAAUUAAUAAUUGUGUUUACAUCUCAACAUAACACGUAAAUACAUUAAAGUCUAAAAGGAUUUUUUGGAAUAAACACUUAAAUAAAUAUAUGUGCGUGUAUACGCUGAUAAAAAAAAUUUACAUUUCAUUUAGUUUUGUAACAGCGCAUUUGACCUUUCACGUUGACCAUCCCACACUUGCUGUCAGUGCAGUGCCUUCAUUAGGGUCAUUUUUAUGCUCCUGGUAGGGUGGCAUAUAGCAGUUGAACUGUCCGUCAGUAUGUCAGUCUGUCCUUUUGUCCGAAAAAAACUUAAACAUUGGCCAUAACUUUUUAAAUAUUGAAGAUAGCAACUUGAUAUUUGGCAUGCAUGUGCAUCUCAUGAAGCUGCACAUAUUGAGUGGUGAAAGGUGAUGGUCAAGGUCAUCCUUCAAAGUCAAAUGUCAAAUUUAUUGCGUCUGUCCGUCCGUCCAAAACUUUAACAUUGGCCAUAACUUGUUCAAUAUUGAAGAUAGCAACUUGAUAUUUGGCAGCCAUGUGUAUCUCAUGGAGCUACACCUUUUGAGUGGUAAAAGGUCAAGGUCAUCCUUGAAGGUCAAAGGUCAAAAAAAAUAAUCAAAGUGGCGUUCCUAUGAAGCUGCACAUUGUGAGUGGUUCAAGGUCAAGGUCAUUAGUCAAGGUCAUCCUUCAAGGUCAAAGGUCAAAAAAAUAAUCCAAAGCAGCGUUCUCAUGAAGCUGCACAUUGUGAGUGGUGUGAGUUCAAGGUCAAGGCCAACCGUCAAGGUCAUCCUUCAAGGUCAAAAGUAAAAAAAAAAUUCAAAGCGGCGUCCUCAUGAAGCUGCACAUUUUGAGUGGUGGACGUUCAAGGUCAAGGUCAUCUUUCAAUGUCAAAGGUAAAAAAAAAUCAAAGCGGCGCAAUAGGGGGCAUACUGUGUUUCUGACGAACACAUCUCUUGUUUGUAAAUAUCCCACUGUUUAAGUUCAGCAAAUGUUUUAAGACCAGAUUUCCUUAAACUUGGGGGUGUUAUUAUUUUACUUUUAUUGAAUGCAUGAAACAUGUGUGUUCCGUUGUUGAAUAGCUAAACAUAGCUUGAUGUGUGUAGAUUGUGUGACAAAUGUUGAUCAAAUUGUUACAUAGAAAAAAACACAAUCUUAGUUAACUUGUAUGUGUUAAUUACCAAACACAAAUAUAAGUAUUUUGUAACAAUAUAAGUAUUGUCUUUAUUUGAAAUACAGAAUGAAAUGCAAUUUUAAAAUCAUGUCUUUAUAUGUUCAUCUUCUCCAAAUAAGCAUUUUGAAUAAGCAAAUAUAAUAUCUCUAUGGAAAGUAUCCGUAGGCCCCAUGCAAUCGCUUGUGUACCUCAUAUUGAUCAGGGUCUUUCUAAAUUACUUCAUGAUUGGUUAUCCCUGUCUGAAUUGUGUAAAUAGCUUCAAAAUCGUGAGAUAACUGUUAAGAGGAUUUCAAUAUUAAAUGUUAAAAUAGUAUCUUAACACUGUAACCGUACAUCUGUUGCAUUUAUUUUAACAUGUUUAUAUGUUCUGGCUCCCUGAGUUUUAUAUUGUUUAUAAUCUUGCAUAUUUAAUUGUGUUUUAUAAGACAAACAUCAUUAUACUGAUAAUGUUGUUUUUGUCCAACAUUUCUAUGUAUACAAGUUGUAUGUAAAUAAUUAAAUAUGUUUAUGUUGAUGAUAUGUAUUUCCCGAUCUAAGUUUGAUGUUGAACUCUCAAUAAACGACAUGUUUUGCCAAUUAAAUCCCGAAUGAUUG